AUUGAACGCUGGCGGCAUGCCUUACACAUGCAAGUCGAACGGUAACAGGUCUUCGGAUGCUGACGAGUGGCGAACGGGUGAGUAAUACAUCGGAACGUGCCCAGACGUGGGGGAUAACGAGGCGAAAGCUUUGCUAAUACCGCAUACGAUCUAAGGAUGAAAGCAGGGGACCGCAAGGCCUUGUGCGUUUGGAGCGGCCGAUGGCAGAUUAGGUAGUUGGUGGGAUAAAAGCUUACCAAGCCGACGAUCUGUAGCUGGUCUGAGAGGACGACCAGCCACACUGGGACUGAGACACGGCCCAGACUCCUACGGGAGGCAGCAGUUGGGAAUUUUGGACAAUGGGCGAAAGCCUGAUCCAGCAAUGCCGCGUGCAGGAUGAAGGCCUUCGGGUUGUAAACUGCUUUUGUACGGAACGAAAAGUCUCUGGCUAAUACCUGGGGCACAUGACGGUACCGUAAGAAUAAGCACCGGCUAACUACGUG
This 482-nucleotide ribosomal RNA is filed under the name uncultured bacterium. Its description in RNAcentral is "partial 16S ribosomal RNA". It matches the Rfam family "Bacterial small subunit ribosomal RNA", at positions 30 to 507 of the family's 1533-position model. The record is from RNAcentral.